Molecule: long non-coding RNA, 3294 nt
Organism: Corvus hawaiiensis (hawaiian crow)
Lineage: Eukaryota; Metazoa; Chordata; Aves; Passeriformes; Corvidae
Exons: 3
Source: RefSeq, a predicted model, not a curated record
CCAUACACAGUCAAGUGGCAUUUGUCCAGAAGCUGACAUGUCCUUUCAUUGCUAAAAACCUUGGUUUGGAAUGGAAUGGAGUCAAGUACAGGAAGGAAAUGAUUAUGGAAGCUGUAAGAAUUUGAGACCUCUGCUAUCUUCAGAUACAACAAAAUAUUUCCUCCUGUUAUCAGCAGCCAUAAAAACGUAGAGGAGAUGUUGCAACUCAAGUAUCCAAGUGAAGGCAAAGCUCCAUCUGAGACUGACUUGGGUUUCAGAAGGUUCAGGUCCACCACAUGCACUUAGAGGCUGGCUAUUGAGACCACACUGGUUGGCUAUUUUAAGUACAUCAACAGAUUACUCCUGCUACCGUUUUUAGACUGAAAAAAACCCCAAAUUCUUGUAUAUAUCAGUGACACCAUGAUGAAACUACAAUAGGAACACCAAGCAGAAGAGUUCCUGCUUAGACUAUUGCAGCUUGGAAAUGGGUCAAGCUCUGGACAGGGUAUUGAGGGAUUACUACUGCCAGCAGCUGAAUUUUCCCCUAUAACCCUCACAGAUCCAGAGUGGGAAGUUUACAUCACCGACAUCCUCCAAGGAUCACGGAUGGAAUUCAAGCCUUGCCCAUGGGGUUGCUUGGUGGCACUGCUCUACUGACGCCCACCACAGCAUGAUACAAGCCCCAAAGACUUUCCCAUUCCCACUCCAACAUCUCUGUGUUGGAUAGUGGACAAAAUACUUCCAUGUUUGAGGAAAGGAACAAAGUAAAGUGUGCAGGGCAGCUCUGUUGGCUCCGUUGCCAUUGUUGCUGUUUGUUUAUUGUGAUCUGUCAGGAUUGAUGGGUGUCUAGAACAAAACAAGCCCUGGUUUUGAAAGGUUGCUUAAUGAAAGAAGUUUCAACUUUAUUCUGUGCCUUCAUGCAACCAGAGGUUCUGUUUAUUUAGAAAGCUAACAUUUAUACAGAUUAUGCACUCGCCAUGGUUCCGUGCCAAAAAAUACAUGACUGAAAUGGGUCUUUCCAUCACUCUCUCAGUGUUGACCUGUGAUUGUUUUUACAGGAAUUGGAUCCUUUAAGCAAUAGCCUCUGGUAGAGUAAGGGGGAAAGCACAGCACCUUGUGCAAUGAUUUGCAAAUGGUGGCUUGGGCAAAAAGGUGCAUUCGGAUCACUCAACUGUCCUGAGUACCCCAAAUAGUGGUUGAUUAAAAUAACAACCAGUGAGGGUGGGAAUGGUGGUCAAGCAAAGCUGGAUGAUGGGGGAGAAGGCCAUCAGUUACAGAAGUCAAAUUUUUCUGCAAUUUGACACUUUUGAUUGAUUAAGCCCUCCAAAAACUGUUCAAAGUAUUAAAAACAGUAAAAUAAGAAUAAUUAGAGGUGGCAAAUUGAACUUGAAAAGUCACUGAGUAAUGAUUCAAGCUGUAAAUUUGCAUGUGCUCCUCAUUAUUCUGCUCUUGAAAGUGUUAGAAAUGUUUCCUAAUGAGCAGGGUCCUAGGAAAGAACUGGUCACCUCAUGUUUGUAUGUGAGCACAUAUUUAGAGCCCUUUAAAAAUCCACUCACAGAAAAAGUGGAAAAUUAUGAUGCUCAGAAGGAUCUAUCUGGCCACAUCCUUUGUAAUAACACAUUAUUUUGAGGAGUGAAUAUCCAGCCUGACAAAUGCCCUCUUUAUCAGUCAGUGGGGAGAAAUGGUAACAAGGCAUGUGGUUAGAGAGUGCUGGAAAGCUCUUGACUUUUCUCAGUGGAAUAUCUUUCCUGGGAGACAAUGACUUUCCUACAGAACUCUUCUCAGAAUUAAGGAUGUAUGAAAAAAGAAUCAUUUUUCUUCUUUCCAGUAUUUUUCCAGCUGAGAAACAGUGACAAAGCUUAAGGAUGUGAUUUUUCUCCCCCCUCCACAUUCUCACACUUUCUAAACGUUUUCCAACUGGAAAAACAGCCACUGUUACUUUGUGCUCUUUCCUGCCUUUGGAAAGAAAGUAGUUUUAAAGGACAGGAAAGCCUUGUUUGAAAACAGUGCUAGUAUUUCUCUGUUCUGAACUAUUUUUGGAGACAAGAGUAGAAUCGAAUUAUUUUUCUUUUCAUAACUAUGAAAUGAAAAAUUCACCACUGCGGAAAACAUCCUCCUCUGAACCAUCCUCCCCGAAGCGUGUUUUUAACUUGCAGUUAUUUUUCACUCACCUUUAUCUGGCACUCUUUAGUUUGGCCAAGCCUAUCUUACAGAGACACAGUCUCCUGACAGAUUUUUUGGUGUUUUCCUUUAAAUAGACAUCUGUGGGCUGAUACGCAUCAGCCAAGUGUUCAUUAAAAAGGAUUAAGCAUGGUUAAGCGCUGCGGCCCCAUCAAAGAAAGGGAGGCUAAACACCAGGCACCUUCCCUCCACUGAUGGUGCCAACCCAAGCAUCCUAAAUUGGGGGCUUUCUGCCUCCCAUACAUCAGCAAACCUAAAACUUUUCAUAAUACAGCACAAAUUACCAGUUCAGCAAGUGAGUAAAUAAUCACUGUUGACUUCUCUCCUGCACAACAUUUACCUCAGAGUUGUGUGUUGGUGGCAUGAAAUGUGCUGUGACUUGAGGGCAGGAGGGCCAGGAGCGGUCAGUUGGCUCUUCCCCCCAUCAGCCAUUCCUGUAUUUCCCCAAGGCAAGAUUUAGGUGCCUAAAUUUCUUUUUUUCAUUCCUUUAUCAAUGGCUGUACGUGUUGUGGACCCACAGCGGCCUCAACUCCCUUGGCACAGGCCUUGGGGCCACUGCUGGAGGUAGAUGAGCUUCACUCCUGCUAGGGGAAAUCUCACGGUGUGGGGAAGACACCCCAGGCCCAAAUGAGAGGGAGAAAAGUGUGACCUGGAAAGACAGCAGGGAUUCCUUUCCUUUCAUGUCCUGUGCUUUCAUUUUCAUCAAGGAGGAGGAAAUUGGAGACUCAUUUCUUUGAGUAGGUUCUCCCCAUUUCAGAGACAGAAGAAGAAAAUGCUCAGUAACAGCAGGAUCUGGGGGUGGGUGAACCUGCUCUGUGUCUUUGCAGAACAUGCACAACUAUCCCAAAGUAAGGAAAAUGUUGCACUUUAAUAUUUAUUGCUGAGCUGCCCCAUUUCAUCAGGUCACUCUUUUCCACUCUGAUAUGUAAGUGCUGCAAUUACCUGGCAUGCUGCUGUAAAUGAAGAUUUCUCUUGAAAAAAGAGGACAGGAGGCUCCAAACUGUCACUAUAUUUCCUACAAUCCUACAAAGUUUACUGAAGUGGUUGGAGGGUUUAGCACACUGUCAUCCUGUAAUUACAUGUUGUGUCUGAAGACUUAUAUUAAAGCUGGGGAUGGAAGACUUAGCUGAAAUG